Molecule: unclassified non-coding RNA, 169 nt
Filed under: uncultured Sebacinales
Lineage: Eukaryota; Fungi; Basidiomycota; Agaricomycetes; Sebacinales
Description: sequence contains ITS1
Source: RNAcentral
ACGAAUUCGAAAGUCGGUCGACCGUGCUGGCAGAGACGCACGUGCACGUCGGUCGCAAACCCAAUCCACACACCUGUGAACGUACGGCCUCGGAGUCGCAAGACCUCGGGGCACCCAUUUUUCACUCUGUUUGUAACGGAAUGUACCUGUGCCUAGCGCAAAAACUUAA